Molecule: long non-coding RNA, 226 nt
Filed under: Elaeis guineensis (African oil palm)
Lineage: Eukaryota; Viridiplantae; Streptophyta; Magnoliopsida; Arecales; Arecaceae
Description: long non-coding RNA (EGUI_LNC080737)
Source: RNAcentral
CUAUAUGUGGCUUUUUCUUGCUCUGUGGCAUCCUCCCCAACUGGCUCAAUGUCAGGGGUAUCGAGGAUGUGAGAAAGCUUCUCUUGACUAAGUACUAUUUUAAGAUUUCUCAACCAGUCCACAUAGUUGGUACCAGUCAAUUUAUUUGUAUCCAAAAUGGAGUGAAGUGAAAGUGAAGAAGUCAUUAAUCUACAUAAUAAAGAACAUUACAUAAGCUAACAACUCA